RNAcentral lists this ribosomal RNA (506 nucleotides) under uncultured bacterium. RNAcentral's name for it is "partial 16S ribosomal RNA". It matches the Rfam family "Bacterial small subunit ribosomal RNA", at positions 29 to 523 of the family's 1533-position model. The record is from RNAcentral.
AGCGAACGCUGGCGGUAGGCCUAACACAUGCAAGUCGAACGGCAGCACAGGAGAGCUUGCUCUCUGGGUGGCGAGUGGCGGACGGGUGAGGAAUACAUCGGAAUCUACUCUGUCGUGGGGGAUAACGUAGGGAAACUUACGCUAAUACCGCAUACGACCUACGGGUGAAAGCAGGGGACCUUCGGGCCUUGCGCGAUUGAAUGGGCCGAUGUCGGAUUAGCUAGUUGGCGGGGUAAAGGCCCACCAAGGCGACGAUCCGUAGCUGGUCUGAGAGGAUGAUCAGCCACACUGGAACUGAGACACGGUCCAGACUCCUACGGGAGGCAGCAGUGGGGAAUAUUGGACAAUGGGCGCAAGCCUGAUCCAGCCAUACCGCGUGGGUGAAGAAGGCCUUCGGGUUGUAAAGCCCUUUUGUUGGGAAAGAAAUCCAGCUGGCUAAUACCCGGUUGGGAUGACGGUACCCAAAGAAUAAGCACCGGCUAACCUCGUGCCAGCCGCCGCAGUAA